RNAcentral lists this ribosomal RNA (253 nucleotides) under uncultured bacterium. RNAcentral describes it as "partial 16S ribosomal RNA". It matches the Rfam family "Bacterial small subunit ribosomal RNA", at positions 524 to 776 of the family's 1533-position model. The record is from RNAcentral.
AACGUAGGAGACAAACGUUAUCCGGAGUUACUGGGCGUAAAGAGCUCGUAGGCGGUCCGUCGCGUCGGCUGUGAAAACUCAGGGCUCAACCCUGAGCCUGCUUCCGAUACGGGCAGACUAGAGGUAUGCAGGGGAGAACGGAAUUCCUGGUGUAGCGGUGAAAUGCGCAGAUAUCAGGAGGAACACCGGUGGCGAAGGCGGUUCUCUGGGCAUUACCUGACGCUGAGGAGCGAAAGUGUGGGGAGCGAACAGG